RNAcentral lists this ribosomal RNA (441 nucleotides) under uncultured bacterium. RNAcentral's name for it is "partial 16S ribosomal RNA". It matches the Rfam family "Bacterial small subunit ribosomal RNA", at positions 338 to 795 of the family's 1533-position model. The record is from RNAcentral.
CCUACGGGAGGCAGCAGUGGGGGAUAUUGCACAAUGGGGGGAACCCUGAUGCAGCGACGCCGCGUGGGUGAAGGAGUGCUUCGGCAUGUAAAGCCCUAUCGGCAGGGAAGAAGCAAGACGGUACCUGACUAAGAAGGCCCGGCUAACUACGUGCCAGCAGCCGCGGUAAUACGUAGGGGGCGAGCGUUAUCCGGAUUCACUGGGUGGAAAGGGAGCGUAGACGGCCAAGCAAGCCAGGGGUGAAAGCCCGGGGCCCAACCCCGGGACUGCCCUUGGAACUGCAUGGCUGGAGUGCGGGAGGGGCAGGCGGAAUUCCUGGUGUAGCGGGGAAAUGCGUAGAUAUCAGGAGGAACACCGGCGGCGAAGGCGGCCUGCUGGACCGCGACUGACGUUGAGGCUCGAAAGCGUGGGGAGCGAACAGGAUUAGAUACCCUUGUAGUC